CCAAUAGCGUAUAUUAAAGUUGUUGCAGUUAAAAAGCUCGUAGUUGAAUUUCGGGAUCAAUUUGUCGGUCGUGCCUCGGUACGCACUGGCUUAUUGGUUUCUCCUUUCUGAAGAACCAUGAUGUCAUUUAUUUGGUGUCGUGGGGAAUCAGGACUGUUACUUUGAAAAAAUUAGAGUGUUUAAAGCAGGCUCACGCUUGAAUACAUUAGCAUGGAAUAAUGAAAUAGGACGUUUGAUUCUAUUUUGUUGGUUUCUAGGAUCGACGUAAUGAUUAAUAGGGAUAGUUGGGGGCAUUAGUAUUCAAUUGUCAGAGGUGAAAUUCUUGGAUUUAUUGAAGACUAACUACUGCGAAAGCAUUUGCCAAGGAUGUUUUCAUUAAUCAAGAACGAAAGUUAGGGGAUCGAAGACGAUCAGAUACCGUCGUAGUCUUAACCAUAAACUAUGCCGACCAGGGAUCGGAUGAUGUUAAUUUUUUAAUGACUCAUUCGGCGCCUUACG
RNAcentral lists this ribosomal RNA (498 nucleotides) under uncultured Glomeromycotina. Its description in RNAcentral is "partial small subunit ribosomal RNA". It matches the Rfam family "Eukaryotic small subunit ribosomal RNA", at positions 591 to 1092 of the family's 1831-position model. Lineage: Eukaryota; Fungi; Glomeromycota. The record is from RNAcentral.